GACGAACGCUGGCGGCGUGCUUAACACAUGCAAGUCGAACGGAAAGGCACUGCUUUUGUGGGCUGCCCGAGUGGCGAACGGGUGAGUAACACGUGAGUAACCUGCCCUUGACUUUGGGAUAACUUCAGGAAACUGGGGCUACUACCGGAUAGGAGCCCCCGCUCCAUGGUGGGGGUGGGAAAGUUUCGGCGGGUGGGGAUGGAUGCGCGGCUGACCAGCUUGUUGGUGGGGUAGUGGCUGACCAAGGCUUUGGAGGAUAGCCGGCCUGUGAGGGUGGCCGGCGUCCAUACGACUGCGGUACGGACCAGACUCCUACGGGGGGCAGAAGUGGGAAAUAUUGCACAAUGGGCGGACGCCUGAUGAGGCGACGCCGCGGGCGUGAUGACGGCCUUCGGGUUGUGAACCGCUUUCGCCUGUGGCGAAGCGUGAGUGACGGUAAUGGGUAAAGAAGCACCGGCUAACUACGUG
This 468-nucleotide ribosomal RNA is filed under the name uncultured bacterium. Its description in RNAcentral is "partial 16S ribosomal RNA". It matches the Rfam family "Bacterial small subunit ribosomal RNA", at positions 28 to 507 of the family's 1533-position model. The record is from RNAcentral.